GUGGUCAGUCGGGCUUGAAGACAAUGGAGACGGCGGCUUGACGCGGCGGCGCUCAUGGCUCGGAAAAGGAAGGGCGACGGCGGCGCGCAGAAAAGGAGGGAGGAGGACCCGUCUAGGGUUUCCUUGUGCUAGGGUGGAGAGGAGGCGUGGCUGCGCUUAAGUAGGCGGCGCGGAGCCCUCCUGUCGCUGUCGACGAGGACGUGGCGCGGCCGCCCCCACUGCUUGGAGAAGAAAAGCAGAGGUAGAAGACGCUCAGUGAGAGGUGGCGUAUUCGGGAAAAUUACGCCUUCGCUGCUGGGAGGCGCAACGCAGGGCGGCGCGCGCGAAGCUGGGCGGCGGGUGCGGGCGCGCGUAGCUGGGCCGAGUGGGCUUGGGCCGACUCGGGCCGAAGGUAAGAAGGUAAGUUUUUCUUUUUCCUUUUUCCUUUUUCUGUUUUCUCUUUUGCAAAUAGUUUUGUUUGUACUUUGUUUUCUUGAUUCAAAUUUCAAAUACCAUUUUGAAAAGCUGAGGAGUAGGAGAGUUCAAAUAUGGUACUAUUAUUUGGAAAUAUUCAAAUGGGGGUAGAGGUUUAAAUCAAAACCCAUUCAAAUGUCAUUUGCAAAGGU
RNAcentral lists this long non-coding RNA (605 nucleotides) under Brachypodium distachyon (stiff brome). RNAcentral's name for it is "long non-coding RNA (BDIS_LNC003198)". The record is from RNAcentral. Lineage: Eukaryota; Viridiplantae; Streptophyta; Magnoliopsida; Poales; Poaceae.